This is a long non-coding RNA of Sceloporus undulatus (fence lizard), 708 nucleotides long. RefSeq lists it as uncharacterized. NCBI's taxonomy places the organism in Eukaryota, Metazoa, Chordata, Lepidosauria, Squamata, Phrynosomatidae. The transcript has 3 exons. The record is from RefSeq and is a predicted model, not a curated record.
UAUUGCCUUUUAUGGUUUAUAUGAAACAAAAGAACAACUAGACUGUCUGAAUGCUUAUCAGUUAGGAAGUCCUCUUGAUGAUCUUUCGGACUCUUAACUGAGGGUUGUAUUAUGGUGAAUUAAUUUUUUUGCCUUCAUACUGUUAAUUUGGUUCCAGCAUGCCUAUUAUUUGCAGAAGGAAAAGAUGAGGUAGGUAUAUUGAAAACAUGACUCAGUAUAAAGAUUUGCAAGCUAACAUGCACCUUUUCCUAAUUAGUCUUGUUAGAAAGAAGACGUCAGGCCUGGAAUCAGUGGCUACAAUAAGGACCAAAGUUUUUGUUUGGGGCCUGAACGAUAAAGACCAGCUGGGAGGAUUAAAAGGUUCAAAGUGAAGUUAGGGAGCAUACAAUCAUGCAUGUAGCCUGUCAAAAAUUCCUGUGGGACAAGAUUAAUUCCAAGCCUUCUGGAUGACUAAAAGACUGCAGCUCUGGCAUUUUGCCAGGAGACCGAAUCAUUCGCCAUGCAAUAAGUCUACUCGGCCAGACACACAUUAGACUACGCUUCUAAAGCGAUACCUGGAGCACUGGCUUUGCGACCAUAUGCAUGGCUCCACUGUACUGACUUGUCUGAAGGUCUUGUUUUUGACUGCUCGUUUUGGAUGACACUGAAGCUGAUCUUCCCAUUUUACACUUCUUGCCAAUAACCAUCCCAGACCCCAAGACUAUUCCA